Molecule: transfer RNA, 62 nt
Filed under: Parachtes ignavus
Lineage: Eukaryota; Metazoa; Arthropoda; Arachnida; Araneae; Dysderidae
Description: tRNA-Leu
Source: RNAcentral
AACUAUAUGGUAGAUAAUUACGCUUAGUUUAAGCCUAAGCCAUUACAACCAAUCUAGAGAUC